Molecule: non-coding RNA, 45 nt
Filed under: Schistosoma mattheei
Lineage: Eukaryota; Metazoa; Platyhelminthes; Trematoda; Strigeidida; Schistosomatidae
Source: RNAcentral
AUCCAUCUGACGAGUCCCGAACAGGACGAAACGUUUAUCCUGGAU